GAACGCUGGCGGCGUGCCUAAUACAUGCAAGUCGAGCGAACGGACGAGAAGCUUGCUUCUCUGAUGUUCGCGGCGGACGGGUGAGUAAUACGUGGAUAACCUACCUAUAAGACUGGGAUAACUUCGGGAAACCGGAGCUAAUACCGGAUAAUAUUUUGAACCGCAUGGUUCAAAAGUGAAAGACGGUCUUGCUGUCACUUAUAGAUGGAUCCGCGCUGCAUUAGCUAGUUGGUAAGGUAACGGCUUACCAAGGCAACGAUGCAUAGCCGACCUGAGAGGGUGAUCGGCCACACUGGAACUGAGACACGGUCCAGACUCCUACGGGAGGCAGCAGUAGGGAAUCUUCCGCAAUGGGCGAAAGCCUGACGGAGCAACGCCGCGUGAGUGAUGAAGGUCUUCGGAUCGUAAAACUCUGUUAUUAGGGAAGAACAUAUGUGUAAGUAACUGUGCACAUCUUGACGGUACCUAAUCAGAAAGCCACGGCUAACUACGUG
This 494-nucleotide ribosomal RNA is filed under the name uncultured bacterium. RNAcentral describes it as "partial 16S ribosomal RNA". It matches the Rfam family "Bacterial small subunit ribosomal RNA", at positions 31 to 507 of the family's 1533-position model. The record is from RNAcentral.